AUACGUAGGUGACAAGCGUUAUCCGGAUUUACUGGGCGUAAAGGGCGUGUAGGCGGUCUUGCAAGUCAGAAGUGAAAUUCCUGAGCUCAACUCGGGCGCUGCUUCUGAAACUGCAGGACUUGAGUGCUGGAGGGGAUAGCGGAAUUCCUAGUGGAGCGGUAAAAUGCGCAGAUAUUAGGAAGAACUCCGAUCGCGAAGGCGGCCUGCCGGGCCGCGACUGACGCUGAAGCUCGAAGGUGCGGGUAUCGAACAGGAUUAGAUACCCUGGUAGUCCGCACAGUAAACGAUGGAUACUCGCUGUCGGCGAUAUACGGUCGGUGGCCAAGCGAAAGCGUUAAGUAUCCCACCUGGGGAGUACGCCGGCAACGGUGAAACUCAAAUGAAUUGACGGGG
RNAcentral lists this ribosomal RNA (393 nucleotides) under uncultured bacterium. RNAcentral's name for it is "partial 16S ribosomal RNA". It matches the Rfam family "Bacterial small subunit ribosomal RNA", at positions 523 to 918 of the family's 1533-position model. The record is from RNAcentral.